Molecule: ribosomal RNA, 611 nt
Filed under: bacterium c1cb3
Lineage: Bacteria
Description: bacterial SSU rRNA
Rfam family: Bacterial small subunit ribosomal RNA
Source: RNAcentral
GUCUACUCGGAAUUUGGUGUCUUGAACACUGGGUUCUCAAGCUAACGCAUUAAGUAGACCGCCUGGGGAGUACGGCCGCAAGGUUAAAACUCAAAUGAAUUGACGGGGGCCCGCACAAGCGGUGGAGCAUGUGGUUUAAUUCGAUGCAACGCGAAGAACCUUACCUACUCUUGACAUCCAGAGAAUUUUCCAGAGAUNGAUUAGUGCCUUCGGGANCUCUGAGACAGGUGCUGCAUGGCUGUCGUCAGCUCGUGUUGUGAAAUGUUGGGUUAAGUCCCGCAACGAGCGCAACCCUUAUCCUUAUUUGCCAGCACGUAAUGGUGGGAACUUUAGGGAGACUGCCGGUGAUAAACCGGAGGAAGGUGGGGACGACGUCAAGUCAUCAUGGCCCUUACGAGUAGGGCUACACACGUGCUACAAUGGCGAGUACAGAGGGUUGCGAAGCCGCGAGGUGGAGCUAAUCUCAUAAAGCUCGUCGUAGUCCGGAUUGGAGUCUGCAACUCGACUCCAUGAAGUCGGAAUCGCUAGUAAUCGUGGAUCAGAAUGCCACGGUGAAUACGUUCCCGGGCCUUGUACACACCGCCCGUCACACCAUGGGAGUGGGCUGCACC